Molecule: ribosomal RNA, 460 nt
Filed under: uncultured bacterium
Lineage: Bacteria
Description: partial 16S ribosomal RNA
Rfam family: Bacterial small subunit ribosomal RNA
Source: RNAcentral
CCUACGGGAUGCAGCAGUGAGGAAUAUUGGUCAAUGGGCGAGAGCCUGAACCAGCCAAGUCGCGUGAAGGAUGACGGCCCUACGGGUUGUAAACUUCUUUUGUCAGGGAGCAAUUGGGUCCACGCGUGGGCUUAGCGAGAGUACCUGAAGAACAAGCAUCGGCUAACUCCGUGCCAGCAGCCGCGGUAAUACGGAGGAUGCGAGCGUUAUCCGGAUUUAUGGGGUUUAAAGGGUGCGUAGGCGGAAUAUCAAGUCAGCGGUAAAAAUUCGGGGCUCAACCCCGUCGUGCCGUUGAAACUGAUGUUCUUGAGUGGGCGAGAAGUAUGCGGAAUGCGUGGUGUAGCGGUGAAAUGCAUAGAGAUCACGCAGAACUCCGAUUGCGAAGGCAGCAUACCGGCGCCCAACUGACGCUGAAGCACGAAAGCGUGGGUAUCGAACAGGAUUAGAUACCCUUGUAGUC